CAGAAGUGUUUAUUUCUUAAGCUUUUAGAUGCUAUGAACAAGAAAGAACAAAGUCCUGCUUCUGACUUAUGAACUUACAAAGUUUGCUAUCCUAUACUUGUUUUCUGCUCCAUCAAAUCUCUUAACCAUGCUCCAGAAUUGACAGCGUUUGAUUCUUUCCUGAAAACAAGUCAUAGGAAGACACAACAGUAAAAUCCCAGGGGUGUCCAAGGUUUAAUUCAGUCUCAGUUUGAGAAGUCUGCCUAAAAGCCCGUGCACCAGGAUGCUUGUGAUGACAUGAGCCCCCAUAAAAGUCUGUGAACGUUUCAGCUGAGGACAGUGCCUUGAAGGUACAACUUCUGUAAAGCUCUGCCCCCUGACUCCAAGCUCCUCAGCAUCCACCAGUGGCCAUGGGCUAGAAAAUCCAGAGGACAAGACAAGAAGUCCCUCACCUGCAUGCUGCUGACCAGCAGGGCUCUCCAGCAAGGAGGAAGCAAGGAUCUGACCCCUUUCCUUAGAGACAUUGAUAAUAACUUCCUGGAAAGGCCUUUUAUUCCAGGUUUGCAAACCAGCUUUGAGUAUUAUGGCGUAUUUCCAGUAUCGCAUCACUGAUGGGAUCAGGUCAUGGGGGGAAAAUGGAAUAAUUAAGCUUUUUUUUCCCUUGUCAAAGCAACGGUUCACAUGGAAAUGUCUACGGUCACCGGAAUAAACAUUUC
Gallus gallus (chicken) is the source of this 695-nucleotide long non-coding RNA. The record is from Ensembl. NCBI's taxonomy places the organism in Eukaryota, Metazoa, Chordata, Aves, Galliformes, Phasianidae.